This 395-nucleotide ribosomal RNA is filed under the name uncultured bacterium. RNAcentral describes it as "bacterial SSU rRNA". It matches the Rfam family "Bacterial small subunit ribosomal RNA", at positions 32 to 410 of the family's 1533-position model. The record is from RNAcentral.
AAUCAACGCUGGCGGCGUGCCUCAGACAUGCAAGUCGAACGAGAAGUCCCCUUCGGGGGAUGGAUAGUGGCGCACGGGUGAGUAACACGUGGGUAAUUUACCUUUGGGUGGGGAACAACAGCCGGAAACGGCUGCUAAUACCGCAUAAUGCAGCGGCUCCUCAUGGAGACAGUUGUUAAAGCGGGGGAUCGCAAGACCUCGCGCCUGAAGAGAAGCCCGCGGCAGAUAGCUAGUUGGUAGGUAAUGGCUUACCAAGGCGACGAUCUGUAACCGGCCUGAGAGGGCGGUCGGUCACACUGACACUGACAUACGGGUCAGACUCCUACGGGAGGCAGCAGUCGGGAAUUUUGGGCAAGUGGGCGAAAGCCUGACCCAGCAACGCCGCGUGAAGGAUG